Molecule: ribosomal RNA, 470 nt
Filed under: uncultured Pseudomonadota bacterium
Lineage: Bacteria; Pseudomonadati; Pseudomonadota
Description: bacterial SSU rRNA
Rfam family: Bacterial small subunit ribosomal RNA
Source: RNAcentral
AGAGUUUGAUCAUGGCUCAGAGCGAACGCUGGCGGCAGGCCUAAUACAUGCAAGUCGAGCGGGUGUAGCAAUACACCAGCGGCAGACGGGAGAGUAACACGUGGGAACGUGCCCUUCAGUUCGGAACAACCCAGGGAAACUUGGGCUAAUACCGGAUACGUCCGAAAGGAGAAAGAUUUAUCGCUGAAGGAUCGGCCCGCGUCUGAUUAGCUUGUUGGUGAGGUAACGGCUCACCAAGGCGACGAUCAGUAGCUGGUCUGAGAGGAUGAUCAGCCUCACUGGGACUGAGACACGGCCCAGACUCCUACGGGAGGCAGCAGUAGGGAAUAUUGGACAAUGGGCGCAAGCCUGAUCCAGCCAUGCCGCGUGGGUGAUGAAGGCCCUAGGGUUGUAAAGCCCUUUCGGCGGGGAAGAUAAUGACGGUACCCGCAGAAGAAGCCCCGGCUAACUUCGUGCCAGCAGCCGCGGUA